This 390-nucleotide long non-coding RNA is filed under the name Medicago truncatula (barrel medic). Its description in RNAcentral is "long non-coding RNA (MTRU_LNC006319)". The record is from RNAcentral. Lineage: Eukaryota; Viridiplantae; Streptophyta; Magnoliopsida; Fabales; Fabaceae.
CGGCUUCCAUUCCAACAGCAACGGCUUCCUGACCAUCGUAGAGAUGGCAGAAACCACGGAUGAGUUUGGCUUUGUAGAGAGAGUCAGCAGCGAUCUCCAUACGACGCAUGAGAACCAUGUCGUUGAAGAAGGACAUGAGUUCGGAGGCGGUGGUUUGGACGGUGGUGGAAGGUGGUUCGCAGUUGUGGGAAGUGAAAGGGAUGGAGGUUUCGACGGUUAGGGUUUCGGUGGAAGAGGAAGAAAUGGAACGGUGUCGUAUGGCGGAGGAGAGGAAGUAGGGUUUGAGUAGAGUGGAUCCGAAUUGAGAGGAUGAGAAUCGCGAUAGAGCCAUUUGGAUUGGAUUGGAUUGGAUUGGAUCUGUUACUGGAAAAUGAGUUUAAUGAACUGAAC